AGUGGUUGUAGACGCGAAACCUUGCGAUCUACCCUUGAGCAGGUUGAAGGUUGGGUAAAACCAACUGGAGGACCGAACGAAUAAGCGUUGAAAAGCUUCUCGAUGACUUGAGGGUAGGGGUGAAAGGCUAAUCAAGCUGGGAAAUAGCUCGUACUCCCCGAAAUGCCUUUUGGGGCAGCGUUGUAAUAAAGAGUCUACUGGAGGUAGAGCUACUGAUUGGAUGCGGGGGCUUCACCGCCUACCAAAUCCUGACAAACUCCGAAUGCCAGUAGUAUGAUUUACAGCAGUGAGCGACCGGGUGCUAAUGUCCGGUUACGAGAGUGGAACAACACAGACCAGCAACUAAGGUCCCCAAGAGUAUACUAAGUUGAUCUAACGAUGUUUUGCUGCAGAGACAGCUAGGAUGUUAGCUUGGAAGCAGCUAUUCAUUCAAAGAGUGCGUAACAGCUCACUAGUCGAGCGGCAAAGCGUGGAUAAUAAACGGGCAUCAAGUAUACCACCGAAGUUCUGGGCACGAAAGUGCGGUAGGGGAGCAUUCCAUUCCGCGUUGAAGCCGAACCGUGAGGUUUGGUGGAGUGUAUGGAAAAGCAAAUGUAGGCAUGAGUAACGAUAAUGCGGGAGAGUAACCCGCACACCGCAAGACCAAGGUUUCCUGAUCAACGCUAAUCGGAUCAGGGUUAGUCGGGUCCUAAGGGUAAGCCGAACGGUGAUCUCGAUGGAUAAUCGGUUAAUAUUCCGAUACUGACAUAUACCUCGAUGGAGAGACGAAGGAACGUAAGUGCCGCCACCUGACGGAAUAGGUGGUUAAAGGGCUUAGGUAUAGGGGCAGAUUAAGAGUUAGUCCUUGCUGAAACCUGACAGUACAGAGAGCCUACGGGCAAUUUGAUAGUGCACCCAAGUCGACUUCCGAGAAAAUCUUCUAAGUUAUAGUAUAUGUCACCCGUACCGUAAACCGACACAGGUGGUCGAGGAGAGUAUCCUAAGGUGCUCGAGUGAAUCACGGUUAAGGAACUAGGCAAAUUAACCCCGUAACUUCGGGAAAAGGGGUCCCAUCGCGAGGUGGGCGCAGCGAAGAGGUCCAGGCGACUGUUUAUCAAAAACACAGGGCUCUGCAAAUUCGAAAGAAGACGUAUAGGGCCUGACACCUGCCCGGUGCUGGAAGGUUAAGAGGGGAUGUCAUCGCAAGAGAAGCAUUGAAUCGAAGCCCCAGUAAACGGCGGCCGUAACUAUAACGGUCCUAAGGUAGCGAAAUUCCUUGUCGGGUAAGUUCCGACCUGCACGAAUGGUGUAACGAUCUGGACACUGUCUCAACCGUGAGCUCGGUGAAAUUGUAGUCCCGGUGAUGAUGCCGGGUACCCGCAACGGGACGAAAAGACCCCGUGAACCUUUACUAUAGCUUAACGCUGAAUUUGGGUACACAAUGUGUAGGAUAGGCCGGAGGCUUUGAAGCGGGCACGCCAGUGUUCGUGGAGCCGACGUUGAAAUACGGCCCUUUGUGUAUUUGAGUUCUAACCCUGCGAAGGGGACACCGUUUGGUGGGUAGUUUGACUGGGGUGGUCGCCUCCAAAAGCGUAACGGAGGCUUCCCAAGGUACCCUCAGCACGAAUGGUAACCGUGCGCGGAGUGCAAUAGCAUAAGGGUGCUUGACUGUGAGACAUACAAGUCGACCAGGUACGAAAGUAGGGUAUAGUGAUCCGGUGGUUCUGCGUGGACUGGCCAUCGCUCAAAGGAUAAAAGGUACUCCGGGGAUAACAGGCUGAUCGCCGCCAAGAGCUCAUAUCGACGCGGCGGUUUGGCACCUCGAUGUCGGCUCGUCACAUCCUGGGGCUGGAGAAGGUCCCAAGGGUUCGGCUGUUCGCCGAUUAAAGUGGCACGCGAGCUGGGUUCAGAACGUCGUGAGACAGUUCGGUCUCUAUCUGUUGCGGGCGUAGGAAGAUUGAGGGGUCCUGACUUUAGUACGAGAGGACCGAGUUGGACGAACCUCCGGUGUAUCGGUUAUGCUGCCAAGUGUACUGCCGAGUAGCCGCGUUCGGUCUGGAUAAGCGCUGAAAGCAUCUAAGCGCGAAGCCAUCCCCAAGAUAAGUCUUCCCUUGAGGGGCGUAGGAGAC
RNAcentral lists this ribosomal RNA (2108 nucleotides) under human gut metagenome. Its description in RNAcentral is "bacterial LSU rRNA". It matches the Rfam family "Bacterial large subunit ribosomal RNA", at positions 702 to 2845 of the family's 2925-position model. The record is from RNAcentral.